AAAGUCGUAACAAGGUUUCCGUAGGUGAACCUGCGGAAGGAUCAUUACAUUCAGCUGCAACCGCGUUCGGGCAACCGCGCGCGGCCUAGGCUUGAUACCCUUGCUUAUGUAUACCUUUGUUAUUCCCUCGGCAGGCUUCGCCUGCCGGGGGAGCACCCAAAACCCCUUGUAUUAAGCAUCAAAACUUCUGAACAACAAACAAAAUAUCACAACUUUCAACAAUGGAUCUCUUGGUUCUG
This 239-nucleotide unclassified non-coding RNA is filed under the name Ascomycota sp. RNAcentral describes it as "partial contains small subunit ribosomal RNA, internal transcribed spacer 1, and 5.8S ribosomal RNA". The stretch from base 1 to 47 matches the Rfam family "Eukaryotic small subunit ribosomal RNA", at positions 1785 to 1831 of the family's 1831-position model. The record is from RNAcentral. Lineage: Eukaryota; Fungi; Ascomycota.